RNAcentral lists this ribosomal RNA (1365 nucleotides) under uncultured bacterium. RNAcentral describes it as "bacterial SSU rRNA". It matches the Rfam family "Bacterial small subunit ribosomal RNA", at positions 28 to 1381 of the family's 1533-position model. The record is from RNAcentral.
GAUGAACGCUGGCGGCGUGCCUAAUACAUGCAAGUCGAGCGAACGGACGAGAAGCUUGCUUCUCUGAUGUUAGCGGCGGACGGGUGAGUAACACGUGGAUAACCUACCUAUAAGACUGGGAUAACUUCGGGAAACCGGAGCUAAUACCGGAUGAUAUUUUGAACCGCAUGGUUCAAAAGUGAAAGACGGUCUUGCUGUCACUUAUAGAUGGAUCCGCGCUGCAUUAGCUAGUUGGUAAGGUAACGGCUUACCAAGGCAACGAUGCAUAGCCGACCUGAGAGGGUGAUCGGCCACACUGGAACUGAGACACGGUCCAGACUCCUACGGGAGGCAGCAGUAGGGAAUCUUCCGCAAUGGGCGAAAGCCUGACGGAGCAACGCCGCGUGAGUGAUGAAGGUCUUCGGAUCGUAAAACUCUGUUAUUAGGGAAGAACAUAUGUGUAAGUAACUGUGCACAUCUUGACGGUACCUAAUCAAAAGCCACGGCUAACUACGUGCCAGCAGCCGCGGGUAUACGUAGGUGGGAAGCGGUAUCCGAAUUUGGGCGUAACGCGCGUAGGCGGUUUUUUAGUCUGAUGUGAAAGCCCACGGCUCAACCGUGGAGGGUCAUUGGAAACUGGAAAACUUGAGUGCAGAAGAGGAAAGUGGAAUUCCAUGUGUAGCGGUGAAAUGCGCAGAGAUAUGGAGGAACACCAGUGGCGAAGGCGACUUUCUGGUCUGUAACUGACGCUGAUGUGCGAAAGCGUGGGGAUCAAACAGGAUUAGAUACCCUGGUAGUCCACGCCGUAAACGAUGAGUGCUAAGUGUUAGGGGGUUUCCGCCCCUUAGUGCUGCAGCUAACGCAUUAAGCACUCCGCCUGGGGAGUACGACCGCAAGGUUGAAACUCAAAGGAAUUGACGGGGACCCGCACAAGCGGUGGAGCAUGUGGUUUAAUUCGAAGCAACGCGAAGAACCUUACCAAAUCUUGACAUCCUUUGACAACUCUAGAGAUAGAGCCUUCCCCUUCGGGGGACAAAGUGACAGGUGGUGCAUGGUUGUCGUCAGCUCGUGUCGUGAGAUGUUGGGUUAAGUCCCGCAACGAGCGCAACCCUUAAGCUUAGUUGCCAUCAUUAAGUUGGGCACUCUAAGUUGACUGCCGGUGACAAACCGGAGGAAGGUGGGGAUGACGUCAAAUCAUCAUGCCCCUUAUGAUUUGGGCUACACACGUGCUACAAUGGACAAUACAAAGGGCAGCGAAACCGCGAGGUCAAGCAAAUCCCAUAAAGUUGUUCUCAGUUCGGAUUGUAGUCUGCAACUCGACUACAUGAAGCUGGAAUCGCUAGUAAUCGUAGAUCAGCAUGCUACGGUGAAUACGUUCCCGGGUCU